AUUGAACGCUGGCGGCAGGCCUAACACAUGCAAGUCGAGCGGAUGAGGGGAGCUUGCUCCCUGAUUUAGCGGCGGACGGGUGAGUAAUGUAUAGGGAGCUGCCCGAUAGAGGGGGAUACCAGUUGGAAACGACUGUUAAUACCGCAUAAUGUCUACGGACCAAAGUGUGGGACCUUCGGGCCACAUGCUAUCGGAUGCACCUAUAUGGGAUUAGCUAGUUGGUGGGGUAACGGCUCACCAAGGCGACGAUCCCUAGCUGGUUUGAGAGGAUGAUCAGCCACACUGGAACUGAGACACGGUCCAGACUCCUACGGGAGGCAGCAGUGGGGAAUAUUGGACAAUGGGCGCAAGCCUGAUCCAGCCAUGCCGCGUGUGUGAAGAAGGCCUUCGGGUUGUAAAGCACUUUCAGCGAGGAGGAAGGGAUGUAUGUUAAUAGCAUGCAUUUUUGACGUUACUCGCAGAAGAAGCACCGGCUAACUCUGUG
RNAcentral lists this ribosomal RNA (484 nucleotides) under uncultured bacterium. Its description in RNAcentral is "partial 16S ribosomal RNA". It matches the Rfam family "Bacterial small subunit ribosomal RNA", at positions 30 to 507 of the family's 1533-position model. The record is from RNAcentral.